CCUACGGGAGGCAGCAGUGGGGAAUAUUGCACAAUGGGGGAAACCCUGAUGCAGCGACGCCGCGUGAGUGAGGAAGUUUUUCGGUACGUAAAGCUCUAUCAGCAGGGAAGAAAAUGACGGUACCUGACCAAGAAGCCCCGGCUAACUACGUGCCAGCAGCCGCGGUAAUACGUAGGGGGCAAGCGUUAGCCGGAUUUACUGGGGGGAAAGGGAGCGUAGACGGCUAAUCAAGUCAGAAGUGAAAACCCAGGGCUCAACGUUGGGACUGCUUUUGAAACUGAGUAGCUAGAGUGCAGGAGAGGUAAGCGGAAUUCCUAGUGUAGCGGUGAAAUGCGUAGAUAUUAGGAGGAACACCAGUGGCGAAGGCGGCUUACUGGACUGUAACUGACGUUGAGGCGCGAAAGCGUGGGGAGCAAACAGGAUUAGAUACCCGAGUAGUC
RNAcentral lists this ribosomal RNA (440 nucleotides) under uncultured bacterium. RNAcentral's name for it is "partial 16S ribosomal RNA". It matches the Rfam family "Bacterial small subunit ribosomal RNA", at positions 338 to 795 of the family's 1533-position model. The record is from RNAcentral.